GACAGGAAGUGGUGCAUAUGCCCAGGGACAAAGCCAAGUUGAGGAGCAGAACCACAGUAGCUUGAGGAAGGAAUAGAAAUAAGCUUCAAAUGAAAUAGGCUUUCGAUGUGACAGUGUUUACAGGAAACAUUAUGCUGUUACGAACUUCCCUUAGAAUCAACCCAUUUGUGAAACACCACAUUAAUAAGAGCAGUAUCUUUGGAGAUUGGAGAGUCCACCAAGGAUGCCCACUGGCUCCCUACAAAGUUUUUUAUGUGAGGACUCGGUCUCAGGUUCAGCAUCACAAUCUUAUUAAGGAUAGAGAAAUAACUUGAGAUUCUGAGAAGAAAAAUAAAUAGCUCAGAAGUGGAAGAGAUGUGCCUUGACUCAGAUGAGACUUUGGACUUGGACUUUUGAGUUAAUUCUGGAAUGAGUUAAAACUUUAGGGGACUGUUGGGAAGGCAUUAUUGUGUUUUAAAUGUGAAAAGAACAUGAGGUAUGGGAGGGGUCAGGGGUGGAAUGAUAUGGUUUGGCUCUGUGUCCCCACCCAAAUCUCAUGUCAAAUUUUAAUCCCCAGUGUUGGUGGAGGAGCCUAGUGAGAGGUGACUGAAUCACAGGGGCAGACUUCCUCCUUGUUUCUCUUGUGAUAGUGAGUGAGUUCUCAUGAACUCUGGUUGUUGUAAAGUGUGUGGCACCUUUCCCUUCACUCUCUCUCUUCCUCCUGCUCUUGCCGUGAGAAUAAGUGCAUGCUUCCCCUCCUGCCAUGGGAAUAAGUGCAUGCUUCCCCUCCUGCCAUGAGAACAAGUGCAUGCUUCUCCUUUUGCCUUCUACCAUGUUUGAAAGUUUCCUGAAGCCUCUCCAGCCAUGCUCCCUGUGCAGCCUGCAGAACUAUGAGCCAAUUAAACAUGUUUUUGUAUAUAAAUUACCCAAUCUUAAGUAGUUCUUUAUAGCAACACAAGAAUAAACUCAUACAACCCCCAUUAUCAUUCAGCUAAAUAUGGUUGGGUUUUUGGAGCCUCAAGCAUGAAGGUGAACUGGCUAUGGCUAUACCAGCCUGAAAGGAUUGAACUCUCCCCUGGAAUCCCAGAACAAAUUCCUUCAACUGAAAAUGUCUCUCCUGUCUCGAGGAGCAAGUCCCCACAAAUUUAUUUUCUCACUUUCAUCCAAACUCUGAUAAUUCUGGAAAGAAGACCAAAGAUUUGUCAAUAACAGGCACUCUUAGGGCAGUGUCUGUUCCCUGAGCUGAUCAUAGGAGCAUGUUGGGAAAUUUCAUCAAAUGUAAAAUCAAAGCCUUGUAUUAGACUUAGCAAAAGUUAGCCGUUGGCAAAUUGUGAAAUUGGUUAAGUAUGCCUGUGGCACCUUCCCACUUUCAUAAUUAAUUUUUAUGCCCUCCCACUUGGCUCUUAUAACCCUACAAGUACAAAUAAUUGGUCAUUUGUGUGACUUUCUGUUUAUUGCAUGUCUCUAUUUAACUUGCUAUAAUUUGCAUAUGUGUGGAGACUACACUUGUCUUUUUGGCUACUAUAUCCUUCUGUCCCCUAAUAUUGUACCUGAUUAUGGAAUACGCCAAUUUAUUAAAUGAAUAAAGUUUUUUUAAAUAUCUUGACCCCUUUUUGGAACAUUAUAUAGCACAAAAAUAAUUGUUCAGUGACUGUACCUUAACUGAAUGGAUUGUAUGAGUAAUGGAAGUGGUUAAGAUAUGAAUCACUCUGGGAUUGCAUUUCCACAAAACUUUUCCAAGACCUAUCAUAAGAGGGAGGGAAGAGUGAGACCUCCCAAUACACUGUAUAUUUACAAGAACUGCAAAACUUUCAAUGGUAUGUUUCUUUACUUGUAGCAGGCUUUAGGUUUCAACCUGUUCUCUCUAAUGCCUGCCACUGUCUACCUCAUCUCUGUGACUUCUGUCUCCAUGUAGUUGGCUGUGAAAUAGGAUGCAGUUUCUUCUUCUUCCCUUGCUAUUUUUGUUUAAUGGACACAAGUCCCUAUUUAAUCACCUGGAAAAGCUACCAGAAGGGGAAGAAAGCAAGCCACAUUGAGAGUAUACACUACUCUUACUAAUAUAAUCUUAGGCCAUUUGUACUGUUUUUGUUUCUGGGCCAUAUUGUAAACUCUUUGGUAUGGAACAAUAAUAAUCAAAAUUGCUUACAUGUAUUGAGUACAUGUUAUUUAUUAUACUCAUUUGACACUUUAAACUGUUUUGUCAUUUAGUCUCAAAAUGGUUUGGAUUUACAAAUGAGUACACUGAGGCUCAAAAAGGAGUA
RNAcentral lists this long non-coding RNA (2240 nucleotides) under Homo sapiens (human). RNAcentral's name for it is "HSALNT0057985". The record is from RNAcentral. Lineage: Eukaryota; Metazoa; Chordata; Mammalia; Primates; Hominidae.